Molecule: ribosomal RNA, 497 nt
Filed under: Amazonian soil bacterium P8
Lineage: Bacteria
Description: partial 16S ribosomal RNA
Source: RNAcentral
GGUGCAUGGCCGCGGGAUUCGGGUUACCUUGUUACGACUUCGUCCCAAUCGCCAGUCCCACCUUCGACAGCUCCCUCCACAAGGGUUGGGCCACCGGCUUCGGGUGUUACCGACUUUCGUGACGUGACGGGCGGUGUGUACAAGGCCCGGGAACGUAUUCACCGCAGCAAUGCUGAUCUGCGAUUACUAGCGACUCCGACUUCAUGGGGUCGAGUUGCAGACCCCAAUCCGAACUGAGACCGGCUUUUUGAGAUUCGCUCCACCUUGCGGUAUCGCAGCUCAUUGUACCGGCCAUUGUAGCACGUGUGCAGCCCAAGACAUAAGGGGCAUGAUGACUUGACGUCGUCCCCACCUUCCUCCGAGUUGACCCCGGCGGUCUCCCGUGAGUCCCCAGCACCACAAGGGCCUGCUGGCAACACGGGACAAGGGUUGCGCUCGUUGCGGGACUUAACCCAACAUCUCACGACACGAGCUGACGACAGCCAUGCACCACCUGU